UACAGAUGUUUGAUGUCCGGAGUAAUC
RNAcentral lists this non-coding RNA (27 nucleotides) under Bombyx mori (domestic silkworm). The record is from RNAcentral. Lineage: Eukaryota; Metazoa; Arthropoda; Insecta; Lepidoptera; Bombycidae.